UUAUCUCUGUAGAGUCUGCAUAUCAAUAAGCGGAGGAAAAGAAACUAACUAGGAUUCCCUCAGUAACGGCGAGUGAAGCGGGAAGAGCUCAAAUUUGAAAUCUUCAAGGUUUUACCUUGACGAAUUGUAGUUUAAAGAAGUGUUUUCUGUUGGAAUUUUGGUAAAAGUUCUUUGGAAUAGGACAUCAUAGAGGGUGAGAAUCCCGUAUUUGACCAUUACUUCCAGCGUUGUGAUACACUUUCAAAGAGUCGGAUUGUUUGGGAAUGCAGUCCAAAAUGGGUGGUAAAUUUCAUCUAAAGCUAAAUAUUGGCGAGAGACCGAUAGCGAACAAGUACUGUGAGGGAAAGAUGAAAAGAACUUUGAAAAGAGAGUUAAACAGUACGUGAAAUUGUCAAAAGGGAAGCGUUUGACACCAGUGUUGUUUUCUCGAAAAUCAAUCAAAAAUGGUGGGAUGUUGUGUUGUAUUGACUUUAUCAGCUUUCUGCACUUUUUUCUUGUCUUUUUUAAUGCACUUUUCGUUUAACAAGUCAACAUCAAUUUCUUUUGUUGUAAAAGGGUCAUUGGAAGGUGGCUUUCUUUUCGGAGAAAGUGUUUAUAGCCUUUGACUUCUGCAAUCGGAGAGAUUGAGGUCUGCAGCGUAGAUCCUUCGGGGUUAGAUACAUUUGUGCUAAGUUAUAGCCUUUCAUAGACAACUUGUUGACUAUGAUCAGUCAUGUAGCCUGACUCGCUUAUGCUAUUUUACCUACGCUUAGGAUGUUGAUCUCUCACAGUCGAGC
This 776-nucleotide ribosomal RNA is filed under the name uncultured Neocallimastigales. Its description in RNAcentral is "partial large subunit ribosomal RNA". It matches the Rfam family "Eukaryotic large subunit ribosomal RNA", at positions 24 to 645 of the family's 3401-position model. Lineage: Eukaryota; Fungi; Neocallimastigomycota; Neocallimastigomycetes; Neocallimastigales. The record is from RNAcentral.